RNAcentral lists this long non-coding RNA (921 nucleotides) under Chinchilla lanigera (long-tailed chinchilla). Its description in RNAcentral is "lncRNA (ENSCLAG00000026998.1)". The record is from RNAcentral. Lineage: Eukaryota; Metazoa; Chordata; Mammalia; Rodentia; Chinchillidae.
AAUCUAAGUGCCAUUCGAGAAGAGAGUGAACUGCUGAACAUCGAGAAGAAGAUAGUGGAGUGCAGUGAGGACAUCACGGAGCUGUUCAACGUGCUCAUGACGCUGGAGAUGCAGCUGGUAGAACAGCUGGAGGAGACCAUAAACGUGUUUGAAAGGAACAUCACCGACAUGGUGGGAUUAUUUAUCGAAAACGUCCAGAGCCUAUAUCCUUCCUGUGGUGGCCUCCAGUCCUGGCCUAUAGCAGAGCUAUGGAAGAGGUCCCUGCACUUUAAACAAAAGUCAGGGAAGAGCGAACCUUCUUCAGGAGCUCGGCAGGAUGCAAAUAAACGGGGCCCCUUCAGCUGGCCUCCUGCAAGGCCUCCUGCCCCAUCCUUCCCACUGCCACCGAGUCCUAAACACACUGGCAAAAAUAGGCAAAAGUCAGCGCUCUACAACACACUGAGCUUCACCAGAAAUGCCUACUCCCCACCUGCCUGUCAGAAAGAUCUAUACCUCCACCAAGAGGGUAUUUAAAUUCACCCUAGGAUCCUGUUAAAUGAGGUUCUCUACCUUUGAUAUUAGAAGAAUGGAAACCUCCAGUUUCUGCCAAGAAAAAAGCUCACUUUCAGAUGAUGUAGAUUUGACAACCACGUAGACCGUGCAGAGGAAUGUUCCAUGGGGCCCGAGGGGGUUUCCCAAGUCUCAGAACAACGGUGGCCCUGUUAGGGUGGCAGUUUGGAUGCCUGGAGGGACAGCGGGAGAGUCCUGGCACGUCUGUUCUCAAAUAGGUGAUGUUCGUGGGGAGAUGGCACCCCUGAAUCACUGCUUGCUUCUGUGCUACAGCCACACACACUCUCAGGGAGAGGCAAUAUCCACAUUAAAGACACUGACAAAUUAUUUAUAAUGAAUUUAUCAGUUUAAAUGUUAAGAUUAGGAGCCAAA